GCCCUGAUGAAUCGGAGGUCCGGCCAUCCAGGUGACAAGCAUUAUCAGCUACACGUUGCUGAGAGAUGAAAUUGGAUUUUAUAAGCUGCCUUGAAAAUUAUGACAUGUUGAGUUCCUCGCUUUAGUGGAAGCUCGGCUCACACACUACUGAGUUGAAUGGAUCUUUAUCUUGUCUGUUGGUCAUGAAAAAAGCCAUUGCAGAUCACAUUCUUCAACGGACUUCACCAGGUAAG
This is a long non-coding RNA of Globicephala melas (long-finned pilot whale), 233 nucleotides long. RefSeq lists it as uncharacterized. The record is from RefSeq and is a predicted model, not a curated record. NCBI's taxonomy places the organism in Eukaryota, Metazoa, Chordata, Mammalia, Artiodactyla, Delphinidae.